CAGUAGCCGCGGUAAAACGAAGGGGGCUAGCGUUGUUCGGAAUUACUGGGCGUAAAGCGCACGUAGGCGGAUAUUUAAGUCAGGGGUGAAAUCCCGCAGCUCAACUGCGGAACUGCCUUUGAUACUGGGUAUCUUGAGUAUGGAAGAGGUUAGUGGAAUUGCGAGUGUAGAGGUGAAAUUCGUAGAUAUUCGCAGGAACACCAGUGGCGAAGGCGGCUAACUGGUCCAUAACUGACGCUGAGGUGCGAAAGCGUGGGGAGCAAACAGGAUUAGAUACCCCUGUAGUCCCUGUCUCUUAUAA
RNAcentral lists this ribosomal RNA (301 nucleotides) under uncultured bacterium. Its description in RNAcentral is "partial 16S ribosomal RNA". It matches the Rfam family "Bacterial small subunit ribosomal RNA", at positions 509 to 809 of the family's 1533-position model. The record is from RNAcentral.